Molecule: long non-coding RNA, 499 nt
Filed under: Theobroma cacao (cacao)
Lineage: Eukaryota; Viridiplantae; Streptophyta; Magnoliopsida; Malvales; Malvaceae
Description: long non-coding RNA (TCAC_LNC002597)
Source: RNAcentral
GAUGACGCUGUUCCGGCACCUCCCAUCCUGACUCCAAACCCUUUUCAGCUACCUCCCCUGCUUCCUCCAAACCCCAUUCAGCCUCCUCCCUUGCUUCCUCCCAACCCUUUUCAGCCACCUCCCCUGCUUCCUCCAAACCCCUUUCAGCCUCCUCCCUUGCUUCCUCCCAACCCUUUUCAGCCACCUCCCCUGCUUCCUCCAAACCCCUUUCAGCCUCCUCCCUUGCUUCCUCCCAACCCUUUUCAGCCACCUCCCCUGCUUCCUCCAAACCCCUUUCAGCCUCCUCCCUUGCUUCCUCCCAACCCUUUUCAGCCGCCACCAGCUCCACUUAUUCCAAACCCGUUUCAGCCUCCUCCAGCUCCACUUAUUCCAAACCCGUUUCAGCCUCCCCCGGCUCCACUUUUUCCUCCAAACCCGUUUCAGCCUCCCCCGGCUCCACUUUUUCCUCCAAACCCGUUUCAGCCUCCUCCAGCUCCACUUAUUCCAAACCCGUUUCAGC